This 24-nucleotide non-coding RNA is filed under the name Arabidopsis thaliana (thale cress). Lineage: Eukaryota; Viridiplantae; Streptophyta; Magnoliopsida; Brassicales; Brassicaceae. The record is from RNAcentral.
AUGAUUGUAUGUGUAAACGAUCUC